UCCCCGUUGAACGAGGCAGUCUCCCGUGAUAUGCAACACAGGACGAGGGUUGCGCUCGUUUGCGGACUGAACCGUACAUCUCACGACACGAGCUGACGACGACCGUGCAUCACCUGUCAUCCGGCUCCCGAAGGCACCCCCGCAUUUCUGCAGGGUUCCGGAGAUGUCAAGUCUUGGUAAGGUUCUUCGGUUAGCAUCGAAUUAAACCACAUGCUCCACCGCUUGUGCGAGCCCCCGUCAAUUCAUUUGAGUUUUAGUCUUGCGACCGUACUUCCCAGGCGGCAGACUUAACGCGUUAGCUUCGGUACGCGAAGGGUCGAUCUCCGAAUACCUAGUCUGCAUCGUUUACGGCGUGGACUAC
This 361-nucleotide unclassified non-coding RNA is filed under the name uncultured bacterium. RNAcentral's name for it is "contains 16S-23S intergenic spacer region". The record is from RNAcentral.